GAGACAUUUUAUUUCUUUUCUUCUCACAUUUCAUUUUCUUGUGUGUCUGUUUUCAUGUGUGGUGGGUGUAUUUACAUUUUCACAUUAAACUUGUACAUUUAUUUUCACAUCUUUUCCCCCCAUGUUCGUGUUUGUGUAGUGUUGUGCGGUGUAGUGUUGUGUAUGUGUUUGUGUAGUGUAGUCUAUGUUGUUGUGUAGUGUAAUGUAGUGUAGGUUAGUGUAGUGUUGUGUAGUGUAGUGUUGUGUAGUGUAGUGUUGUGUAGUGUUGUGUAGUGUAGGUUAGUGUAGUGUAGUGUAGUGUAGGUUAAUGUAGUGUAGUGUAGUGUAGUGUAGUGUAUGUGUUUGUGUAGUGUAUGUGUUUGUGUAGUGUUUGUGUAGCACUGUGUAGUGUAGUGUCUGUGUAGCACUGGUAUGCUGAUUAUUUCCAGCACACACCGGUGUAGUGUUUGUGUAGUGUAUGUGUUUGUGUAGUGUUUGUGUAGUGUAUGUGUUUGUGUAGUGUA
Ictalurus punctatus (channel catfish) is the source of this 503-nucleotide long non-coding RNA. Lineage: Eukaryota; Metazoa; Chordata; Actinopteri; Siluriformes; Ictaluridae. The record is from Ensembl.